Molecule: ribosomal RNA, 655 nt
Filed under: uncultured prokaryote
Description: bacterial SSU rRNA
Rfam family: Bacterial small subunit ribosomal RNA
Source: RNAcentral
GAUGAACGCUGACAGAAUGCUUAACACAUGCAAGUCGAUUCGAUUUACCUUCGGGUAUUGAGGAUGGCGGACGGGUGAGUAACGCGUAAGGAACUUGCCUCUUGGUCUGGGACAACUGUUGGAAACGACAGCUAAUACCGGAUAUUAUGAGAUUCUCGCAUGGGAAACUUAUGAAAGCUAUAUGCGCCAAGAGAGAGCCUUGCGUUCCAUUAGCUAGUUGGUGGGGUAACGGCCCACCAAGGCGACGAUGGAUAGCCGGCCUGAGAGGGUGAACGGCCACAAGGGGACUGAGACACGGCCCUUACUCCUACGGGAGGCAGCAGUGGGGAAUAUUGGACAAUGGGCCACAAGCCUGAUCCAGCAAUUCUGUGUGCACGAUGAAGGUCUUCGGAUUGUAAAGUGCUUUCAGUUGGGAAGAAGAAAGUGACGGUACCAACAGAAGAAGCGACGGCUAAAUACGUGCCAGCAGCCGCGGUAAUACGUAUGUCGCAAGCGUUAUCCGGAUUUAUUGGGCGUAAAGCGCGUCUAGGCGGAAAAAUAANUCUGAUGUUAAAAUGCGGGGCUCAACUCCNUAUUGCGUUGGAAACUGUUUUUCUAGAGUACUGGAGAGGUGGGCGGAACUACAAGUGUAGAGGUGAAAUUCGUAGAUNUUUGU